GAUGAAGAACGUAGUGAAAUGCGAUAAGUAAUGUGAAUUGCAGAAUUCAGUGAAUCAUCGAAUCUUUGAACGCACAUUGCGCCCCUUGGUAUUCCGGGGGGCAUGCCUGUUCGAGCGUCAUUUCAACCCUCAAGCUCUGCUUGGUAUUGGGCACCGUCCUUUGCGGGCGCGCCUCAAAGACCUCGGCGGUGGCGUCUUGCCUCAAGCGUAGUAGAAUACACCUCGCUUCGGAGCGUAAGGCGUCGCCCGCCGGACGAACCUUCUGAACUUUUCUCAAGGUUGACCUCGGAUCAGGUAGGGAUACCCGCUGAACUUAAGCAUAUCAAUAAGCGGAGGA
This 337-nucleotide unclassified non-coding RNA is filed under the name soil metagenome. RNAcentral's name for it is "partial contains 5.8S ribosomal RNA, internal transcribed spacer 2, and large subunit ribosomal RNA". The stretch from base 1 to 120 matches the Rfam family "5.8S ribosomal RNA", at positions 35 to 154 of the family's 154-position model. The record is from RNAcentral.